AACGCAUAUUGCGCUCUUUGGUAUUCCGAAGAGCAUGCUUGUUUGAGUAUCAGUAAACACCUCAAAACUUUUUUUUAUUUUUGAAAAACAGUUUUGGACUUGAGCAAUCCCAACACCAAUCUUUUUUAGAUCGGUGGCGGGUUGCUUGAAAUGCAGGUGCAGCUGGACAUUCUCCUGAGCUAAAAGCAUAUUUAUUUAGUCCCGUCAAACGGAUUAUUACUUUUGCUGCAGCUAAUAUAAAGGGAGUUUGACCGUUUUGGCUGACUGAUGCAGGAUUUCACAAGGGUCGGCAACGAUUCUUGUAAAACUCGAUCUCAAAUCAAGUAAGACUACCCGCUGAACUUAA
RNAcentral lists this unclassified non-coding RNA (346 nucleotides) under uncultured Mortierella. RNAcentral's name for it is "sequence contains ITS2". The record is from RNAcentral. Lineage: Eukaryota; Fungi; Mortierellomycota; Mortierellomycetes; Mortierellales; Mortierellaceae.